UACAGAGGUCCCAAGCGUUGUUCGGAUUCACUGGGCGUAAAGGGUGCGUAGGCGGUCGGGUAAGUCUGAUGUGAAAUCUCACAGCUUAACUGUGAAACUGCAUUGGAUACUAUUCGGCUAGAGAGUUGGAGGGGGGACUGGAAUUCUUGGUGUAGCAGUGAAAUGCGUAGAUAUCGAGAGGAACACCUGCGGCGAAGGCGGGUUGCUGGGCCGACACUGACGCUGAUGCGCGAAAGCCAGGGGAGCGAACGGG
Molecule: ribosomal RNA, 253 nt
Filed under: uncultured bacterium
Lineage: Bacteria
Description: partial 16S ribosomal RNA
Rfam family: Bacterial small subunit ribosomal RNA
Source: RNAcentral